Molecule: unclassified non-coding RNA, 576 nt
Filed under: Hevea brasiliensis (rubber tree)
Lineage: Eukaryota; Viridiplantae; Streptophyta; Magnoliopsida; Malpighiales; Euphorbiaceae
Source: RNAcentral
GUGACUUUAGAUGCUCUGGAACCUUUUGUUUGUGAUGGUCCAAAGCAGAAUCCUCCUCCCUUGCCAUAUCUUGCGGAGAAGGAAUCCAGAAACUACGACAUAGAGUUGGAGGUUUUGAUUAAACCUGCUGGACAAGAACACUCCUAUGCUGUCACGAAAAGCAACUUCAAGCACUUAUAUUGGACAAUUUCGCAACAACUUGCUCACCAUACUGUUAACGGUUGCAACCUAAGGCCCGGUGAUCUUCUUGGAUCCGGAACUAUGAGUGGACCUGAACCAGGAACUUACGGAAGCCUUCUUGAAUUAACGUGGAACGGAACAAAACCUCUAUCUUUAGGUGGAGUAACUCGUACCUUCAUAGAAGAUGGAGACGAAGUCAUAUUCACAGGGUGUUGCAAGGGAAAUGGCUAUACAGUUGGUUUCGGAAAAUGCUCAGGUAAAAUUCUUCCAUCACCAUACUGAGAACAUGAAUUUAUUAGCUCAAUCCAGUCCUCUUCAAUCUCAUCGAAAUAAAAUUAGGAGAAUACAAGCAAACUCAUGCAUGAAAUUGUUGUACUUGUAACAUGUAACGCAAAC